This 1607-nucleotide ribosomal RNA is filed under the name human gut metagenome. RNAcentral describes it as "bacterial LSU rRNA". It matches the Rfam family "Bacterial large subunit ribosomal RNA", at positions 844 to 2428 of the family's 2925-position model. The record is from RNAcentral.
GAUAUCUCGUUCUCCCCGAAAUAGCUUUAGGGCUAGCGUCGGGAGCUCACCUGUGGAGGUAGAGCACUGGACGGCCGCGGGGGCCUCACCGCCUACCAAAGCCGACCAAACUCCGAAUGCCACAGGUCCAGAUCCCGGCAGUCAGAACAUGUGGGCUAAGCUGUGUGUUCGAGAGGGAAACAGCCCAGACCGCCCGCUAAGGUCCCGAAGUCCGUGCUGAGUGGCAAAGGAUGUGCGUUUGCCUAGACAACCAGGAUGUUGGCUUAGAAGCAGCCAUUCAUUUAAAGAGUGCGUAACAGCUCACUGGUCGAGUGGACAUGCGCCGACAAUAUACGGGGCUAAGCACGGCACCGAAGCGGCGGGGUGGCGCCUUUGGGGCGCGACCGGUAGGGGAGCUUUCCGGCCUGCGGCGAAGCCGAGGGACGACCCUCGGUGGAGCGGCCGGAAGUGAGAAUGCUGGCAUGAGUAGCGAGAGCGGCGUGGGAAACGCCGCCGCCGUAAACCCAAGGUUUCCUGGGCGAGGCUAAUCCCCCCAGGGUCAGUCGGGAGCUAAGGCGAGGCCGGAAGGCGUAGCCGAUGCACAGCCGGUCGACAUUCCGGCACCCCCGACGCGGAGCUUGACCGACGGUGUGACGGAGAAGGGUAGCCGGACGGGGUUCUGGACGUCCCCGCGAUGGCGCGUAGGGCGAGGGGUUGUGAAACGCGCCCCUCACGACGCCCGAGGCGCCGGACGAAGCCUUAUUGGCGAAGCCGGUGAGCCCAUGCUUCCUAGAAAAGCACCUAGGGAUCCGCUAGGGGCCCGUACCGCAAACCGACACAGGUGGGUGGGUAGAACAUACCAAGGCGAUCGGGAGAACCAUGGUUAAGGAACUCGGCAAAACUGCCCCGUAACUUCGGGAGAAGGGGUGCCGGCGUGGCGUGGAGGGGCUUGCCCCCCGAGCGCGGGCCGGCCACAGCGAAGAGGUCCAAACGACUGUUUAUCAAAAACACAGGACUCUGCUCAAGCCGUAAGGCGACGCAUAGGGUCUGACGCCUGCCCGGUGCCGGAAGGUCACGGGGAGUGGUCAUCCUUUCGGAGAAGCCACGAACCCAAGCCCCGGUAAACGGCGGCCGUAACUAUAACGGUCCUAAGGUAGCGAAAUUCCUUGUCGGGUAAGUUCCGACCUGCACGAAAGGCGCAACGAUUUGGACGCUGUCUCGACCAUGGCCCCGGCGAAAUUGCACUAGUCGUGAAGAUGCGACUUACCCGCGGAAGGACGGAAAGACCCCGUGAACCUUUACUGCAGCUAGGCAUUGGCUGCCGGUACGUCGCGUAGAGGAUAGGUGGGAGGCUUUGAACCGAGGGCGCCAGCCCCCGGGGAGCCACCCUUGGAAUACCACCCCCGACGUUCUGGCAUCCUAACCCCACGCCCUGACCGGGGUGGGGGACCGUGCCUGGUGGGUAGUUUGACUGGGGCGGUCGCCUCCCAAAGAGUAACGGAGGCGCGCGCAAGGUCUGCUCGGGACGGUCGGCAACCGUCCUCUUGAGUGCAAGAGCGUAAGCAGGCUUGACUGCGAGGCCAACAAGCCGAGCAGGUGGGAAACCAGGCUCUAGUGAUCCGGCGGCC